Podarcis lilfordi (Lilford's wall lizard) is the source of this 264-nucleotide non-coding RNA. The record is from the annotation of a GenBank genome assembly. NCBI's taxonomy places the organism in Eukaryota, Metazoa, Chordata, Lepidosauria, Squamata, Lacertidae.
CAUGUUUAGCCUGGAGAAGAGGAGGUUAAGGGGUGAUAUGAUAGCCAUGUUCAAAUAUAUAAAAGGAUGUCACAUAGAGGAGGGAGAAAGGUUGUUUUCUGCUGCUCCAGAGAAGCGGACAUGGAGCAAUGGAUCCAAACUACAAGAAAGAAGAUUCCACCUAAACAUUAGGAAGAACUUCCUGACAGUAAAAGCUGUUCGACAGUGGAAUUUGCUGCCAAGGAGUGUGGUGGAGUCUCCUUCUUUGGAGGUCUUUAAGCAGAG